UUUCUGGUGUGCAUCCCCAGUUUUUCUAUCUUUCCGGACCAUCAAGUGCUCGUGUGGCUUUCUUAAUAGUACCGAUAUGUCCUCAAUUGCCAGUGUUUUGUCUAGUGUGACGCCCAGGGACCUGGGGACAUUUGGGUGGAAUUUGUGGAACGAUGCCCCAACAAACGAGAGGCGGAUUUGGAGUGGUACAUACGUCUUCAAAAGUACAACAGGUCAUACGCCACUGUUUCUUUUAAUGCGACAUUGCCUUAUGAAUUCAGUGAUGAUUUGUCGAUUUCGAUUGCUGUUUUUUCAAAAUCUAAUGGUGCUUGGAAACCUAACUUUUACAACUUCAACUUUAAAGGGCUCUGCCAUAGCCUGAGGGAGUAUAAUUGGUAUAUAUUUAGCGAUAUAGCGAAAUCUAUGAAUGCAAAGCCACAGUGUCCUCUGCCGAAGGGGUUGUACAAACUGACCAAUUUGGAUUACAUGAGCAAAGUUUCGAAGUUGCCAAGUAGCGUGUUGCCAUACGGUAAAUUCAAAGCUGAAGGCAAUAUUUUCAACAAACACCACAAACUUGCCGUUUGUUUCGAUGUUUACUUUGCAAUAUCACCAAAAAAAAUAACCAGGAAGAACCGUCUGUAACUUUGCGCCAUGUGAGAUUUAAUGAACCAACUGUUCAAUAUAGAUAAUACUUAAAAAUUCUUGGUAAUCGUAUGAAAUUAA
This 702-nucleotide unclassified non-coding RNA is filed under the name Cimex lectularius (bed bug). RNAcentral describes it as "uncharacterized LOC106669052, transcript variant X1". The record is from RNAcentral. Lineage: Eukaryota; Metazoa; Arthropoda; Insecta; Hemiptera; Cimicidae.